CCUGGUGUGGCUGGCGCCGGCGCUGCUGGCGAUGUCGGCGGCGCAGAGCGCGGCGUUCGACUCGACGUACCCGAUCC
This 77-nucleotide transfer RNA is filed under the name Pseudonocardia sulfidoxydans NBRC 16205. RNAcentral's name for it is "tRNA-Asp". The record is from RNAcentral. Lineage: Bacteria; Bacillati; Actinomycetota; Actinomycetes; Pseudonocardiales; Pseudonocardiaceae.